GCGGCGUUCCCACUUGUGGCGGCCGACGCGACGUCCGCCGGCCGGCCCGUGAGUCAGUGCGAACUGGAAGACGUGCUGGAACAGACGUGCGCCGCUCCGAGGAGACGGUCGAGGUGGCGAACAGACAGGUGUGCCGACGCGGCGCACGGUGCUCAUAGACCGGUGGGUGGUAGGCUUGGAUGGAUGUGUGUGUCGGGUUAAGUGCUGUGAAGCUCAGACUUUGAGCUGGCUGGUGAUUAGUUUGCUGUGGUGAAGUCGGACGGGAAAAUGUGUGAUAUUAAGGAACGAAGGUAUUGUGCAGAAACUACAGGACUGGGUGGCAGGGCGACGCUGCACGUGACCUCUCCACAGUGACCUCUGCUCAAGGUCGAGCCGUCACCUGACCGCCAGGUCACACGUCCUGACGGGGGUCUCUCACAUCGCGACCUGACCCAGCGGCGGCGGGAGUGUGACCUGUCGGUCGCGCAGGUCAUCCUGACCCGACCGCGGCCGGUGGGUGCAAUCUGCAGCAGCCGGGCGGUCGGCUCCGCCGUGGAGUCGGGUGGCUGCUCGGGUGACCCAGCUUGAGAGCCCGCGGGCCAGGGUUACGCGCGGUCUGACCCCAGGGUGCAGAACCGGUGUCGGCGAGGUCAGCUUACCACGAUUGACUGCAGCUGCAGUGCCGCCGGCCGAGGCUCCGCCUCACUUCAUUCAGGCUGACCAUGCAGCUGAAAAAUGACAACAUAUCCCAGGCACAUCAUAAUGCUGAGGUCUCUGCCGCGUCAGCCGCCUCGAGUGUCCCGCUGCCGCCGCAGACGGCCCAGGUGGAAGUCCCUCCCCUGCCGCCGCG
This is a long non-coding RNA of Amphibalanus amphitrite, 829 nucleotides long. RefSeq lists it as uncharacterized. The record is from RefSeq and is a predicted model, not a curated record. Lineage: Eukaryota; Metazoa; Arthropoda; Thecostraca; Balanomorpha; Balanidae. The transcript has 3 exons.